Molecule: ribosomal RNA, 243 nt
Filed under: uncultured bacterium
Lineage: Bacteria
Description: partial 16S ribosomal RNA
Rfam family: Bacterial small subunit ribosomal RNA
Source: RNAcentral
GAGGUAGCAAUACCUAGCGGCAGACGGGUGAGUAACAUGUGGGAAUCUGCCUUUUGGUUCGGAACAACACGGGGAAACCUGUGCUAAUACCGGAUAAGUCCUAACGGAGAAAGUUUUAAUGCCAAAAGAUGAGCCCGCAUUUGAUUAGCUAGUUGGUAAGGUAAAAGCUUACCAAGGCGACAAUCAAUAGCUGAUUUGAGAGGAUGACCCCCCACACUGGUACUGAGACACGGCCCAAACUCC